CUCGAAAAAUGUAGUUUAAUCAAAACAUUAGCAUUGGAAGCUAGAGAUUAGGUAACAAUCCUACAUUUCGA
Molecule: transfer RNA, 71 nt
Filed under: Reishia luteostoma
Lineage: Eukaryota; Metazoa; Mollusca; Gastropoda; Neogastropoda; Muricidae
Description: Thais luteostoma tRNA-Pro
Rfam family: tRNA
About the family: Transfer RNA (tRNA) molecules are approximately 80 nucleotides in length. Their secondary structure includes four short double-helical elements and three loops (D, anti-codon, and T loops).
Source: RNAcentral